AAGUCAAUAACAAGGGUCUCCGGUAGGUGAACCUGCGGAGGGAUCCAAUUGACAGAGGGUUCAGUCCCUAACGGGUAGAUCUCCCACCCUAUGUUAUUAUUACUUUGUUGCUUUGGCGGGCCGUCAGGCUCACGCCCGGCUACCGGCUCACGCUGGUAAGCGCCCGCCAGAGAACCCCAAACCCUGAAUAUUAGUGUCGUCUGAGUACUAUAUAAUAGUUAAAA
RNAcentral lists this unclassified non-coding RNA (224 nucleotides) under plant metagenome. RNAcentral describes it as "partial contains small subunit ribosomal RNA and internal transcribed spacer 1". The record is from RNAcentral.